This 253-nucleotide ribosomal RNA is filed under the name uncultured bacterium. RNAcentral's name for it is "partial 16S ribosomal RNA". It matches the Rfam family "Bacterial small subunit ribosomal RNA", at positions 524 to 776 of the family's 1533-position model. The record is from RNAcentral.
UACGUAGGGUGCAAGCGUUGUCCGGAAUUAUUGGGCGUAAAGAGCUCGUAGGCGGUCUGUCGCGUCGGCUGUGAAAACUCGGGGCUCAACCCCGAGCCUGCAGUCGAUACGGGCGGACUUGAGUGUUGCAGGGGAGACUGGAAUUCCUGGUGUAGCGGUGAAAUGCGCAGAUAUCAGGAGGAACACCGGUGGCGAAGGCGGUUCUCUGGGCCUUACCUGACGCUGAGGAGCGAAAGCGUGGGGAGCAAACAGG